This 501-nucleotide ribosomal RNA is filed under the name uncultured Acholeplasma sp. RNAcentral describes it as "bacterial SSU rRNA". It matches the Rfam family "Bacterial small subunit ribosomal RNA", at positions 903 to 1382 of the family's 1533-position model. The record is from RNAcentral. Lineage: Bacteria; Bacillati; Mycoplasmatota; Mollicutes; Acholeplasmatales; Acholeplasmataceae.
CGCCUUGCCACGCCCGCUACAGAAACUUAAAGGAAUUGACGGACCCCGCACAAGCGGUGGAUCAUGUUGUUUAAUUCGAUGAUACGCGAAGAACCUUACCAGGUCUUGACAUCCCCCGCGAUGCUUUAGAGAUAAAGCGGAGGUAUUCGGGGAGACAGGUGGUGCAUGGUUGUCGUCAGCUCGUGUCGUGAGAUGUUGGGUUAAGUCCCGCAACGAGCGCAACCCCUAUUGCUAGUUACCAUCAUUAAGUUGGGGACUCUAGCGAGACUGCCAGUGAUAAACUGGAGGAAGGUGGGGAUGACGUCAAAUCAUCAUGCCCCUUAUGACCUGGGCUACAAACGUGAUACAAUGGCUGGAACAAAGGGAUGCGAAGCAGUGAUGUGGAGCGAAACCCAUAAAAACAGUCUCAGUUCGGAUUGAAGUCUGCAACUCGACUUCAUGAAGUCGGAAUCGCUGGUAAUCGCGGAUCAGAACGCCGCGGUGAAUACGUUCUCGGGGUUU